CAUUAGCUUAGAUAGGAUAAGCUGUUUGUUACUCACAUGGAGCUCUGCCAGUAUUUAUUCUUGGCUUACAGAUUUCUCUGGGACUCCAAACACAGCACCCCAUACAAGCCUGCCUUAGUCCUAACCCUCACCACUCUGCCAGCCUGGUUCUAAGCUUUGCCAGUUCUUCUCCAGUAUGGCCUGUGGUAUCCUCUGAUUUUCCAUAUCAAAGUCUCUCUGAUCCACACCUGAACAGAUGCCAUUCCACAUGACAUGAGCAGAGAGACCUUGAAAAGAAGAGGAGGGAAAGAGCUGGGAAAUCUGAAUAUGAGUGUCCUUGUGGAUACCAGGAUCAGCUUCGUUGAGGUUGGGCAUGUUAUACCUGUGCACACCUGAAUCUGUGAAAAGACAGGCAGAUUCUAGUACGGUUUUGUUGAGGCAGUGAUCCCGCCACUGAAGUACCACAUCACCUCAUACUUAAGUCUUGAUUAAAUUCCAGUCCAGAUAACAAUAUUACACUUGCCUACAUUCUCCUCUCCAAUUUCAUAGGGGGAUUUUUGCAUCUGACCUAUUUAGUACUUUGCCUUCAUGUGUUCUUUACCACUUGUACUUUAAACAUGAAUGCUUUUCUUUGGUGUAUUUUUCAUACACAAACACAAAGAUAUCAGGAUCUCUAUGCUAGAUGUUUGUUACCACCAUGAAAAUGUAAUUGUUUUCUUAAUCCCUAAUAGAAAAUACCAACUACACUGGAAACCUAUCCACCAAUGCCUAUGAGGCUCUGACACCAGCAGCAUCUUAACACCAAGUAGAAGUUCCAGAGAGGGUCAGAAAUUCCCAAUAACAGAAACCUUUGACCCCUUCAUGGUCAAAGCUGUUCAUAACUUUGCCACACGUACUCCCAGCCAUGGCCAGGUAUUUCUCUGUGGUGAGAAAUAUUUCUCCUGUGGAUAGUAACUGCCUUAGUGCAGAAGAGACUUCAUAGCCUGGCUUAUGUAUCACCACUAAAUUUUACUGAGGUGUUCCAGUCCCAAAAAUUUCAGCAAGUCACCAUUCAGGAGGCUGGAGGGAUAUCCAAGCUCUGUUUAAAGAUAUCAUUAAGAGAGAAAAUACAUGGGUCUUUUCCAGUGUCAUUUCACCGUUAAAAAUGUGUGCCCAACUCUUUGGCACACUGCGCCUGGUACUCUAGUUGUUAUAGGUGCACUUUGCUGUUGUGUCAUCAAAGAAAAAUCUAGGUAAAUAGAAUAAACUACAGAAACAGAAAGCUUUGGGCCAUUAAAUUGUCUGUUGUUUCUCUCAGGUUGCUGGCAAGUAGGAAGUGCCUGCACUGGGCAUCAGUGGCAUCGCAGAGAUGUUGAUGAGCCAAGAGAAGGCUACUGACCAAACAAAAGAGAAAUUGGGCACCUAAUCUUCUCACCUGAACUCUUCUGAAAAACCCUGACAUCACUCAGAGCACCAAAUGCUGCUGGCACAGUGCCACUUCCAUCAGUGGCAUGUCUCACUAGCAAACUUACCCAGAGUCUGUAACUGAAAACCACAAAGAGAGAGAGAGACAGAACUGGAAGAGAAGUUGUUCUUCAUGUCCAGGCAUUUGUAUACCAGGCCCAACACAUGGAUCCUUCAGAGGAAGACGUAUGCUGAGCCCUAAUGAAUUCAGCUAUGCAGUGAUGGUCUUAAUUGCUGAGAACCUGCAGUAGCAGAAGAACCCUUUCUACUACACUGACACCUGCAAAUCUCCAUCUAGAGGCAAGUUGGGGCAGUCCAGAGUAAAGACAGAAAAGCCACAGCACACUCAUGACCCUAUGAAGAAUAGCAACCACAGAGAGUCUGUUCAGGCACCCUAAAAUGAGGUGGAAUUCAAUUUCCCCCAGCUUCCCAGACAUAGCUAUGAGUUUGAAGUUGGAUUGGACUCCAUAUGGACUCCAGAAAAGAGAUCUGUUCCAACCUCAU
This is a long non-coding RNA of Vidua macroura (Pin-tailed whydah), 1926 nucleotides long. RefSeq lists it as uncharacterized. NCBI's taxonomy places the organism in Eukaryota, Metazoa, Chordata, Aves, Passeriformes, Viduidae. The record is from RefSeq and is a predicted model, not a curated record. The transcript is spliced from 3 exons.